Long non-coding RNA from Gallus gallus (chicken), 2173 nucleotides. NCBI's taxonomy places the organism in Eukaryota, Metazoa, Chordata, Aves, Galliformes, Phasianidae. The record is from Ensembl.
AAGAGUCUGCUCUUCAGUGAACAAGGGUACUUGCAUGGGGAAUUUGGAGUGAUAAAUUCUUAGUUGCUACUGAGCUGAAUUGUUUGAAGAUCUGCCUGGAAAAGUACUUCAGAAAGUGUCAAAUGACAAUUUUAAUAAGAAAUUGUUUCUGGUAACCGAGAUUUAAUAAAGAGAUUGAGUAGCAGAUGAGAAGUUGGUUUAAAGAAUCAAACAGCUACAAGAAGCUAGACUUCUCCAGCGUAUGGAUUUCAGUGUACAUUUCGAAUAGAUAACAACAUACCACAGAGUUUCAGGUUUAGCACAUCUUAGAUAAAGUAAGAUGAAUAUUCCAGAAUGACUGCAAAUGCAAUGCACAUGGUGUAUGUAGUAUGUGGUUAAAUUGGGCGAGAGAAAGUUAGUCAAAAUACCCCAUCUAAUAUGGAGCAUGUUUUCUAAGCUUCCUUAUAUGCUUACAACAUCCAGGGUUCUUUCCUUAAUAUCUUUGCAGAAAUCCAUAAAAUUCACAUCUUAGUGUUCUGCAUCUUAAAUGAUAAUCUUGAAAUCUCUAAACAGAUUUUCGUGCACUGAUGAUAUAUGCAUAAAACAAUGUCAAUUUUGGAUUAAGCCCUUACUUUUUGUGUAGCUGCUUCAGAUCCAGUUUUAAGAGCAGAUCAAAGUGCUUCAAUUCCAGUUAAUGUUUCUAUUGGGAAGGGAAGCUAGGAAAGGAAUCAGAUGUGAAUUCUACUCCGGACUCAGCAUAGAAGCAUAGUAACUGAAAAACCAAAUUUGGAAAACUUAAUGAAAAAAACUAUUCCUUUUAUAAGCUGUUACAGGCUUACUUGUUUUCUUGUCUACUAUACACUACUUCACAGUAUCAUGUCUGCUUUAUGAUUUUACGUAAUAUACGAUAGCUGGCUGUCACCAUUGCUGGGAUUACUGCUGCGUAUGUAAAUGAGAAUUUUUCUCAGCCCUCUUGUUUUAAUGAGCUCUUCUAAUUACUAUGUGAAGAACCACAUGAAUGGAGCUGAGAUGAUAACUAGAUGAACUAACAGUCACAGCACUGGAACCCAGAUCCUUCACUACUAGGAAGUAUCAUAGCUCUGUAUGGAGUUACUCUCUUGAAUUCAGCCAUAGAAACUCCUGAAUAAAGUGCCAGUGAAAAAUGUUGUUUCUUGACACUUUACAAUGCAUUGCAGCAUUUUGCUGUUAUUGUAAUCCAGACUGCUGAAUUCUUCAGUACAGCAGACAUUGUAGUGUUAUGCAGUACACUUGCUACUGCAUUUAUUUGUGUGUUUUAUUUCCCUCUUGUAUGGUCUGUGUAUUGUAUCAUUUAUUUGAGGUAUAGCAUAUGUAUAUGAAGAAAGAGAAUGUAUAUAAAAUUUGCACUAAAAUGUGUGAAUAUAUACAUUUGUGAUGAAUUUGGACUGUAAAACCAAAUAUAAGAGUGGAUAAAAAAGAUAUUAUCAUUUCAAUUUUGAAACAGCCACUGCCCACAAGCACUGUGCUGACUUAUCAGUAAUUUACACAGCUGUCUAACUUUGGAAAAAAUAGCACUACUUUAAGAUAAACCUGUGAGAUUUACAAACAGAACAGCUCAAAGCAGUUGCAAAAUAAAAUCAAAUGUUUGAUGAUUUUAAAGAAAGAAGAAAUGUAGUAAAAAUGAUAGUAAGUAUUCAUAAUAAUAAUGCUAAUGCUAAUAAUACUAAUAACCAUUAUAAUAAAAAUAAUUAAUUUGCAUUUCAGGGAGCAGAUUUUCCUGAAAGACCUCAUGGUGUAUUGAAUUAAACAGUGUUUGAACAUAACAAAGUAAUAUCUGAAUACAACAGGACAAAACUUUUCAAAAGUCUCCAAAGUCAAGCUGGAUAGGCAAAUAUCAUGAGACUGAAAUGGUAUUUAAGGACCAGGGUCCUCUACUUACUUGGUCACUAAUGCUUGUAGAGGCCAAGUUCCUCAUGACCACGGGAGGUGUAAAAAAUACUUCUUUUUACAUCCAUAUUUUGAAACACCCUUUAUUGCAUGAUUUAUUGUGACAACAGUAAAUCACAGUUGGAAGCUCAAACAGGAAGUAGACAGGCAUUUGCUUUCCUAGCAAUUUAAUCUCACGGGUACUUUUGGAAAAUAUUCUUUAUCUGUCAAAAGCACUCUGAAAGGAUUAGCCUUCUAAAACUAGAGUUAUUACCUUUCUUUUCAAAUG